This 254-nucleotide ribosomal RNA is filed under the name uncultured bacterium. RNAcentral describes it as "partial 16S ribosomal RNA". It matches the Rfam family "Bacterial small subunit ribosomal RNA", at positions 526 to 779 of the family's 1533-position model. The record is from RNAcentral.
CGUAGGGUGCGAGCGUUGUCCGGAAUUAUUGGGCGUAAAGAGCUCGUAGGCGGUUUGUUGCGUCGGCUGUGAAAACUUCACGCUUAACGUGGAGCCUGCAGUCGAUACGGGCAGACUUGAGUUCGGCAGGGGAGACUGGAAUUCCUGGUGUAGCGGUGAAAUGCGCAGAUAUCAGGAGGAACACCGGUGGCGAAGGCGGGUCUCUGGGGCCGAUACUGACGCUGAGGAGCGAAAGCGUGGGAGCGAACAGGAUU